CAUGGCUCAGAAGAUGCCAUCCUUCGAAAGCGGUGGAAUCCUCUGGUUCACUGAUCUUACAACUCCAGACAGUUUUUACAUCUUGCCUCCCCUCAGUAGGCAGCAGAAUUCAGCAGCCAGAAGAAGCAUGAGGCUGCUUUGUUGGAUCUCUGCGAGUGUUGCAUUUCAAGCCACAUUCAGUAUUGAAUCGGCCGUGUACUGUUUCAUGAUCUCAUCUAGAGU
Molecule: long non-coding RNA, 222 nt
Organism: Tarenaya hassleriana
Lineage: Eukaryota; Viridiplantae; Streptophyta; Magnoliopsida; Brassicales; Cleomaceae
Exons: 3
Source: RefSeq, a predicted model, not a curated record